This is a non-coding RNA of Meleagris gallopavo (turkey), 268 nucleotides long. The record is from RefSeq and is a predicted model, not a curated record. Lineage: Eukaryota; Metazoa; Chordata; Aves; Galliformes; Phasianidae.
UUUGUAUUUCUCUUCUUUUCUGUGCAGUGCCAGGAUUUCCCUACCCUGCUGCAACUGCAGCUGCUGCGUACAGAGGUGCCCACCUAAGAGGCCGAGGUCGCACAGUGUACAACACGUUUCGUGCAGCAGCACCCCCCCUCCGAUUCCAGCCUACGGCGGUGUUGUAUACCAGGAUGGAUUUUAUGGUGCAGACAUUUAUGGUGGUUAUGCUGCCUACCGGUAUGCCCAGCCUGCCACUGCCACUGCAGCUGCCUACAGUGACAGGUAA